Molecule: transfer RNA, 68 nt
Filed under: Dendrobates leucomelas (yellow-headed poison frog)
Lineage: Eukaryota; Metazoa; Chordata; Amphibia; Anura; Dendrobatidae
Description: tRNA-His
Rfam family: tRNA
About the family: Transfer RNA (tRNA) molecules are approximately 80 nucleotides in length.
Source: RNAcentral
AGUGAAUAUAGUUUAUUAAAAUUCUAGCCUGUGACCCUAGAGAUGGAAACUAACUAUUUUCUAUUCAC